GGAAUGGGAGGGGUCGGUAAAACCUCUCUGGUGAAAGAAAUUGCCAAAAGGGUUGAACAAGAUAAGCAUUUUGAUGCUGUUGUGAUGGCCGUAGUGUCACAAACUGUUGAUGUAAUAAGGAUUCAGGAUCAGAUAGCAGAAAUGUUGGGUUUAGAUUUCAAGCAGACAAGAACCAAAGAAGGAAGAGCAAGGUUGUUGCAUACUAGACUGUAGGAAAUGAAUAAAAUCCUCAUUAUCUUGGAUGAUAUUU
RNAcentral lists this unclassified non-coding RNA (250 nucleotides) under Hevea brasiliensis (rubber tree). The record is from RNAcentral. Lineage: Eukaryota; Viridiplantae; Streptophyta; Magnoliopsida; Malpighiales; Euphorbiaceae.